CCAUUGCUGGCUGUAACCCCGGGAACUGGGGCUAAUCCCAGAUAGAUGAAGACCCCUGGAACGGGUCCUCGUCCAAAAGGCACCAUGGUUAUGCUCUGUGGUGUCGCUCAAGGAUGGGGCCGCGUCCGAUCAGGCUGUUGGUGAGGCAAUGGCUCACCAAACCUAUAACCGGUACGGGCCGUGGGAGCGGGAGCCCGGAGAUGGGAACUGAGACAAGGUCCCAGGCCCUACGGGGCGCAGCAGUUACGAAAACUUGUCAAUGCACGAAAGUGUGAACGGGCUACCCCGAGUGCCGUCCGCUGAGGAUGGCUUUUCUCUGCUGUAAGAAGGCGGAGGAAUAAGGCGAGGGCAAGUCUGGUGUCAGCCGCCGCGGUAAUACCAGCUCGCCGAGUGGUAGGGAUGAUUAUUGGGCCUAAAGCGUCCGUAGCCGGCCUUUCAAGUCUCUUGUUAAAUCCAACGAUUCAAUCGCUGGACUGCAGGAGAUACUGUCAGGCUGGGGGGCGGGAGAAGCCGACGGUAUUUUCGGGGUAGGGGUAAAAUCCUAUAAUCCCGGGAAGACCACCAGUGGCGUAGGCGGUCGGCUAGCACGCGCUCGACGGUGAGGGACGAAAGCUGGGGGAGCGAACCGGAUUAGAUACCCGGGUAGUCUCAGCUGUAAACGAUGCUGGCUAGGUGUUGAAGCGGCUACGAGCCGCUUCAGUGCCGCAGGGAAGCCAUUAAGCCAGCCGCCUGGGGAGUACGGCCGCAAGGCUGAAACUUAAAGGAAUUGGCGGGGGAGCAC
RNAcentral lists this ribosomal RNA (781 nucleotides) under uncultured archaeon. Its description in RNAcentral is "bacterial SSU rRNA". It matches the Rfam family "Archaeal small subunit ribosomal RNA", at positions 112 to 879 of the family's 1478-position model. The record is from RNAcentral.